Molecule: small nuclear RNA, 92 nt
Organism: Spermophilus dauricus (Daurian ground squirrel)
Lineage: Eukaryota; Metazoa; Chordata; Mammalia; Rodentia; Sciuridae
Source: Ensembl
GCUCACUUCAGCUGCAUAUGCUAAAAUUGGAAGGACGAGCAUGGCUUCUGCCCAUGGAUGACACACAAAUCCAUGAAGCAUUUCAUAUUAAA